AACACAUUUAAAAAUCUAUCUUUCUGUCCGUAUCAUUCAUUAAUUCAUUAGCUCUAAGACCAAGUUGAAUUGAUUUAAUCACAGGAACACGUGACCAUGAUUCACCAGAUGAUAAAUCCAAAUGGGAAUGCGUGAGGAAAGGGGUUUGCUGCAUUUGCUGCGAAAGCAAUAUUGAUUCUCUCUUGUACAGAUGUGGGCACAUGUGCACAUGUUCUAACUGUGCUAAUGAUUUGCACCGAAGUGGAAAGAAGUGUCCAAUGUGUCAAGCACUACUUGUUGAAGUAAUUCGUGCUUAUUCCAUACUAUAGUUUAGACAUUAAAAAGGGGUUACAUAUAGCCAAAAUUACAGAAUCUGCACAAGUUUUUAUUUCCUGGAGAUUUCCAUGUACCUUAAUUUUAAGUUGAUGUCCUUCUCCGUCCUUUUGCUUCUUGAUGUGAUUACCUGUAUUUAUGUCAACUUGUUAAGUGCAACAAUGGAACAGUUGAUGACAAUUUUUUGAGGGCCAUGCUUCUGAAAUAAAUAAAGUAAAUAUCGGUUUUGAUUUUGAGUGAUUGGAUUUCCUUCACUUGUUUUCAAAUUUUAUAGUACUUAUGAUGUAAAGUUGCAUUUUCCAUUGGUAGUGUGUAUAGCGUGGAGGUUUCUUGAUGAGCAGAGUUACUAAUUUCAUUUUCUUUGGGUUGAGGAGUCACUUCUUGAACUGGAAUAAUCCUCACAUUUUCUUCUCCCACAACCUCGUUACCUGUCUGAAUAUCAUUGUUGUUCCUUCUUGUUCUUUUGCUGCUGCUGCCCACAAUCGAAACUUGAACACUUUCUUGCACAACUUUCCUGGUGGAUAAUUGGAUUUGAUCACCACCUUCUGACCAUGCUUUGGACCCAUUCUUCCCUUCCCUUUCAAGCUUCUUUGCAGAUGUUGAUAGACAAACUAUGAAGGUUAAUGGAAUACUACAAAGUAGAACAAUUUUUGGCCAUAGUUCUUGGUUGGCCAUGAAUUGAUCUUAAUCUUCUGUUGGCAUAUAAAUUAAGUAUUCAACA
Molecule: non-coding RNA, 1033 nt
Organism: Arachis ipaensis
Lineage: Eukaryota; Viridiplantae; Streptophyta; Magnoliopsida; Fabales; Fabaceae
Source: RefSeq, a predicted model, not a curated record